GUAAAAUAGUCCCUCCAUUUGCCGGGAAUAUGACCCGCAGGCGGCACUCGAUGACGAUCAAGCAGAAGCAUGAGUCAUAAUGAAAGCAAAAAGAAGAUAUGACUCCAUGAGUGAGUCCAGUCCGGUGGAGAGACCACAGAGCAAUUUGAACAGUUCUGGACAUUAAAUCUUCCUUCUGUUGACACAGAAUAGCAUAUUCAUAGCCAUCUUGAUCCAUUACAGCCAUCACUUCUUGGGAUAAGCCCUCUAGGCUAAAGGUAUGUAUCCUAUUUAAUA
Mustela erminea (ermine) is the source of this 276-nucleotide long non-coding RNA. RefSeq lists it as uncharacterized. NCBI's taxonomy places the organism in Eukaryota, Metazoa, Chordata, Mammalia, Carnivora, Mustelidae. The record is from RefSeq and is a predicted model, not a curated record. The transcript has 3 exons.